Molecule: ribosomal RNA, 484 nt
Filed under: Starmerella bacillaris
Lineage: Eukaryota; Fungi; Ascomycota; Dipodascomycetes; Dipodascales; Trichomonascaceae
Description: eukaryotic LSU rRNA
Rfam family: Eukaryotic large subunit ribosomal RNA
Source: RNAcentral
AGCGGAGGAAAAGAAACCAACAGGGAUUGCCCUAGUAACGGCGAGUGAACAGGCAAGAGCUCAGAUUUGAAAGGCACUUUUGUGCCGUUGUAUUCUGAAGUUAGGGUCCUGAGAAACGAUGCUUAAGUCUUCUGGAAAGGAGCGCCAUGGAGGGUGAUAGCCCCGUCUAGCAUUGACCUCAUAUAGGAUCUUAACAUGGAGUCGAGUUGUUUGGGAAUGCAGCUCAAAUGGGUGGUAUGCUCCAUCUAAAGCUAAAUAUCUGCGAGAGACCGAUAGUAAACAAGUACUGUGAGGGAAAGAUGAAAAGAACUUUGAAAAGAGAGUGAAAAAGUACGUGAAAUUGUUGAAAUGGAAGGGUAGGCCGCUAACCAUGUAGAGCCGUGUUUGGGGGGAAGAUAAAUGCUGUAGAAUGUAGCUCCUCGGAGUAUUAUAGAUGCAGUUCAUAUUCCCACCCGAGCGCGAGGAUCUCAGCUUCCUGCUUCCC